GAACGCUAGCUACAGGCUUAACACAUGCAAGUCGAGGGGCAGCAUGGUCUUAGCUUGCUAAGGCCGAUGGCGACCGGCGCACGGGUGAGUAACACGUAUCCAACCUGCCGUCUACUCUUGGACAGCCUUCUGAAAGGAAGAUUAAUACAAGAUGGCAUCAUGAGUCCGCAUGUUCACAUGAUUAAAGGUAUUCCGGUAGACGAUGGGGAUGCGUUCCAUUAGAUGGUAGGCGGGGUAACGGCCCACCUAGUCUUCGAUGGAUAGGGGUUCUGAGAGGAAGGUCCCCCACAUUGGAACUGAGACACGGUCCAAACUCCUACGGGAGGCAGCAGUGAGGAAUAUUGGUCAAUGGGCGAGAGCCUGAACCGGCCAAGUAGCGUGAAGGAUGACUGCCCUAUGGGUUGUAAACUUCUUUUAUAAAGGAAUAAAGUCGGGUAUGGAUGCCCGUUUGCAUGUACUUUAUGAAUAAGGAUCGGCUAACUCCGUGCCAGCAGCCGCGGUAAUACGGAGGAUCCGAGCGUUAUCCGGAUUUAUUGGGUUUAAAGGGAGCGUAGAUGGAUGUUUAAGUCAGUUGUGAAAGUUUGCGGCUCAACCGUAAAAUUGCAGUUGAUACUGGAUAUCUUGAGUGCAGUUGAGGCAGGCGGAAUUCGUGGUGUAGCGGUGAAAUGCUUAGAUAUCACGAAGAACUCCGAUUGCGAAGGCAGCCUGCUAAGCUGCAACUGACAUUGAGGCUCGAAAGUGUGGGUAUCAAACAGGAUUAGAUACCCUGGUAGUCCACACGGUAAACGAUGAAUACUCGCUGUUUGCGAUAUACGGCAAGCGGCCAAGCGAAAGCGUUAAGUAUUCCACCUGGGGAGUACGCCGGCAACGGUGAAACUCAAAGGAAUUGACGGGGGCCCGCACAAGCGGAGGAACAUGUGGUUUAAUUCGAUGAUACGCGAGGAACCUUACCCGGGCUUAAAUUGCAGAUGAAUUACGGUGAAAGCCGUAAGCCGCAAGGCAUCUGUGAAGGCGCUGCAUGGUUGUCGUCAGCUCGUGCCGUGAGGUGUCGGCUUAAGUGCCAUAACGAGCGCAACCCUUGUUGUCAGUUACUAACAGGUUCCGCUGAGGACUCUGACAAGACUGCCAUCGUAAGAUGUGAGGAAGGUGGGGAUGACGUCAAAUCAGCACGGCCCUUACGUCCGGGGCUACACACGUGUUACAAUGGGGGGUACAGAGGGCCGCUACCACGCGAGUGGAUGCCAAUCCCCAAAACCUCUCUCAGUUCGGACUGGAGUCUGCAACCCGACUCCACGAAGCUGGAUUCGCUAGUAAUCGCGCAUCAGCCACGGCGCGGUGAAUACGUUCCCGGGCCUUGUACACACCGCCCGUCAAGCCAUGGGAGCCGGGGGUACCUGAAGAGCGUAACCGCGAGGAGCGCCCUAGGGUAAAACUGGUGA
RNAcentral lists this ribosomal RNA (1439 nucleotides) under uncultured organism. Its description in RNAcentral is "SSU rRNA". It matches the Rfam family "Bacterial small subunit ribosomal RNA". The record is from RNAcentral.